AGAGUUUGAUCCUGGCUCAGGAUGAACGCUGGCGGCGUGCCUAAUACAUGCAAGUCGAGCGAACGGACGAGAAGCUUGCUUCUCUGAUGUUAGCGGCGGACGGGUGAGUAACACGUGGAUAACCUACCUAUAAGACUGGGAUAACUUCGGGAAACCGGAGCUAAUACCGGAUAAUAUUUUGAACCGCAUGGUUCAAAAGUGAAAGACGGUCUUGCUGUCACUUAUAGAUGGAUCCGCGCUGCAUUAGCUAGUUGGUAAGGUAACGGCUUACCAAGGCAACGAUGCAUAGCCGACCUGAGAGGGUGAUCGGCCACACUGGAACUGAGACACGGUCCAGACUCCUACGGGAGGCAGCAGUAGGGAAUCUUCCGCAAUGGGCGAAAGCCUGACGGAGCAACGCCGCGUGAGUGAUGAAGGUCUUCGGAUCGUAAAACUCUGUUAUUAGGGAAGAACAUAUGUGUAAGUAACUGUGCACAUCUUGACGGUACCUAAUCAGAAAGCCACGGCUAACUACGUGCCAGCAGCCGCGGUAAUACGUAGGUGGCAAGCGUUAUCCGGAAUUAUUGGGCGUAAAGCGCGCGUAGGCGGUUUUUUAAGUCUGAUGUGAAAGCCCACGGCUCAACCGUGGAGGGUCAUUGGAAACUGGAAAACUUGAGUGCAGAAGAGGAAAGUGGAAUUCCAUGUGUAGCGGUGAAAUGCGCAGAGAUAUGGAGGAACACCAGUGGCGAAGGCGACUUUCUGGUCUGUAACUGACGCUGAUGUGCGAAAGCGUGGGGAUCAAACAGGAUUAGAUACCCUGGUAGUCCACGCCGUAAACGAUGAGUGCUAAGUGUUAGGGGGUUUCCGCCCCUUAGUGCUGCAGCUAACGCAUUAAGCACUCCGCCUGGGGAGUACGACCGCAAGGUUGAAACUCAAAGGAAUUGACGGGGACCCGCACAAGCGGUGGAGCAUGUGGUUUAAUUCGAAGCAACGCGAAGAACCUUACCAAAUCUUGACAUCCUUUGACAACUCUAGAGAUAGAGCCUUCCCCUUCGGGGGACAAAGUGACAGGUGGUGCAUGGUUGUCGUCAGCUCGUGUCGUGAGAUGUUGGGUUAAGUCCCGCAACGAGCGCAACCCUUAAGCUUAGUUGCCAUCAUUAAGUUGGGCACUCUAAGUUGACUGCCGGUGACAAACCGGAGGAAGGUGGGGAUGACGUCAAAUCAUCAUGCCCCUUAUGAUUUGGGCUACACACGUGCUACAAUGGACAAUACAAAGGGCAGCGAAACCGCGAGGUCGAGCAAAUCCCAUAAAGUUGUUCUCAGUUCGGAUUGUAGUCUGCAACUCGACUACAUGAAGCUGGAAUCGCUAGUAAUCGUAGAUCAGCAUGCUACGGUGAAUACGUUCCUGGGUCUUGUACACACCGCCCGUCACACCAUGAGAGUUUGUAACACCCGAAGCCGGUGGAGUAACCUUUUAGGAGCUAGCCGUCGAAGGUGGGACAAAUGAUUGGGGUGAAGUCGUAACAAGGUAGCCGUAUCGGAAGGUGCGGCUGGAUCACCU
RNAcentral lists this ribosomal RNA (1540 nucleotides) under Staphylococcus aureus VET0787S. RNAcentral describes it as "16S ribosomal RNA". It matches the Rfam family "Bacterial small subunit ribosomal RNA". Lineage: Bacteria; Bacillati; Bacillota; Bacilli; Caryophanales; Staphylococcaceae. The record is from RNAcentral.